UCCGGAUCCCAGCCUCGACCGUGGAUCCAACUUCCUCUGAGGGACGGAGCGGCCAGCUGCGAAAGCUCAGCCUAGCUUUGGCAUCCCGGCUCCGCCGUAGCCAGCGCGGCCCAGCACCCUGCAGAACCCAAGGAGAAUAUGAACUUGUCAAUGUUUAUGAAGCACAAAGAAUCAUCAAGGACAUCACACAGCACUCGGAGGAGACGCCCUGGGCUCAGGCCUUAAGUGGCCCAGGACUCCUGCCACCAGACUGUUGCGACACACGUCUGCAUAUGUGAGGGCAACACCAGAAGAGCCAGGCUGGAGAUCCAGUACCUCACCUCAACCCUGCUGCGCUAGAAUGCUGUCAUACUUGACAGUGGGAGUUUUAGGAGGCAAGGUCCGGUCUUCUAGUCUUCUGCCAGUCAGAUGCUGAGACCCAGUGUGUUUGAAAUCAGGUUGUGAAACUUUCCAAGUGUGUUCUUCUCUUUCAGGAGCAGUUGAACAUUCUCAGUCCUUUGAUCUGCUAUACAAAUAUCAGAUCAGAUCUCAAAUUUCCCAACCCCUGGUGGGAUGAUUCCUACUGAGACAUUUUUCAGAGCAUAGAUCAUCCUGACGAGGUUUAUGUCUAAAGACUCCUAAAUGUUUUAACCCAUUUACUUGCUAUCUAUUUAUGUAGACGUCCUUUCAUUUCUCUCAAAAUAUUUUGCAGUUUUUAUUGUGCAAGAAUUAUAUUCUCCAUCUUGGGGCUAAGGAUUUAGCUGAGCGGCAUAAGCACCUGCCUUGCAAGCAGGCGGUCGUGAGUUCGAUCCCCGGUACCGAUAAAAAGGAAAAAAGACAAAAAAAAAUAUAAAAAAAUAAAAAAUAAAAAUAAAAGAAUUAUAUUCUCCAUCUUAAAUUAUUCCUAAAUAUCUUAGUUUUAGAAGCAAUUAAAUUGUUUUACAUUACAGUUUCCAAUCAUUUACUGAUUGUACAUAAAAGUAAGUUAAUUUCUAUAUUACUCCACUAUCCUACAACCUUGGCAAACCUCACGCUAGCUCCAAUAGUUGUUCUACAGAUUAUUUCAGAUGUUCUAUUAAUCAACGGUGUCAUCAGGGAAUAGAAUUUUAAGUCCCCCUUUCCUCAGUGUAUGCUUCUUUCUUUCACUUCCUUCACUGCAUUUAGACUAAGCAGUAAAAUGUUGAAUUAAUGUGAUGAGAAUGGUGAAGCUCACUUUGUUCCUAAUGGUAGAAGGCAUAAUUGUUGAUACAUUGUGUCAAUUUGAUCCUGUUGAGGCCAGGAUCCUCACUUUGUAAACAUCCUUAUCCUGUGCAAGAGGUGGGCACUAAGAUGGUGUGAGUGUUACACUCAUCCUAGGAGGUAACAGCCUGUUUACAAAGUAAGGGAGAAAAAGAGGCUUGCUCUACAUCUUCUGCUCCUGUUAGUUUUGCAGUCUUAUGCAAAUUUGAACAUGACCCCUGUGUCAUGUCACCCUGCCUUGGAGCCAGCUGAUUAUGAACUGAAACCUCCACAAAUUGUAAGUUAAAUAAACCUUUCCUUCCUUAAUUUUGGGGGCUGGGUAUAUUGCCCCAGCAAUGAAAAAAAAGUAACCAAGACGGAAUUUGGUACCAGAGAAAGUGGGGUCAUUGCUGUAACUUUACCUGACCAUGUGGUUCAAGCAUCUUUGGGAAUGGUUUGUGGGAAGAGUUUGGAAAGAUUCAGAGAUGUUGCCUGAAAAAGUAGAGCUCAGGCUGUACCGUGUGUGAGCUCCUGGUCAAAGACCAGAAGACCAGAAGGCUGAUAGAAAUCCUGUCAUUAAAGUUCACGCUCAGGAGGUUUCUGCUGGGAAGAAGAACUGCAAUGGGUGUUGAACUCCAGAGGAUAUGUGUUAUGGCUUGGCAAAAGUUGAUCUGUAUUUUGCUUAUGUCCAGAGACGUUGCCUGAAACUAAGAUUAAUGGCAGUCGACUAAUUAACUGCUCAAAGAAAUCUCAAGGCAGUCGAAUGUUGGGGCAGUGGCAUGGCUGUUGUUGGGGGCUUUUUAGCCAGAUUUAUGUUGAAAAUCAAGAGCAAAAUAUGCAGCAGGAUGAUUCAAAUGUUGUGAGUUAGAAAGGAUGCUCCAGUAAAGUUGUGAACUGCAAAUAUACAGCUGGGGAGAUCUUGAUUGCUGAGAAGGAACAGGAAAAUAUAAAAGACGGCCUGAGGGCAUCACAAGAAGCUGGUGUCUCCACCCUUUGUAGUCUCAUAACUGCAAAAGUGAAAGACUUUGCUCUGAGAGGAAAGCUGCAGAGUGCCAGGUUCCAGAAUGGUGGCAGCACAGAAAAUGUGUUCCUCACAAUUCAAUUCAGAGUGCCCAGCAAUCCAGGCACUCAACCCCUGUAGCCAAGAGAGAGAAAAGCCAGGCUAUUGCUCCAUCUGGCAGCAGACCUUGGAAUUAUCCACAUGGUGCUGGUUUUAGGUGCAUGCAGAAUGCAAGAGUGGAGGGGAUAAAAAGGCUUUGACCUCAAUUUCAGAAGGCCUGGGAGGCCAGGCACUGAGCCCCCGAGAAAGCAGUGUGUGAAGCUGUGAGUGGGAGCCUAAAGAUGAAGUGGAGACUCCAGAAGUUUGGAAAAUCCAGGAACAUGGAUCAUCUAAGAAAAGCCACAUGGAGAAAGCAAAGCAGGCUUAAGAGAGAAACCGGGAACUGUAACCACCAGAAGUGCAACAGGGGUGGAGUAACUCAAACUCUUUGGAGCACACAGUUUGUCACAGAUUUCUUCAGAUGCUAGAUGUGAAAUUACAUAAUGUUUGCCCUGCUGGAUUUUGGACUUUCUUUAGUCCCAAUCUUUUGUAUUACCCUGUUUGUAACUUUUGGAAUGAAAAUGUUUAACUUGUGCCAUUAAAUGUUGGGAAUAUUUAACUUUGUUUUCAUUGGUAUAGGGGCUUGCAGCUAAGAAUUAAUUUCACAUCUUGGAGGAGAUUUGGGACUUGGACUUUUCAGUAAUACUGAAACUGUUAGGACUGUGGCAACUUUUGCAGAUAUACUAAGUAUUUUUGCAUAAAAGGAUACAUUUGAGUCUUUGGGGGGCCAGGGGUGAAAUGCUGUGUGUGGUUCCAAUGUAAUAUAAUGUUGAUAGACUCAAUACUGGUUCUUAAGGACUGUUAAACUUGUGUUAUAAGGUUCAAAUUGUGACAUGAUAAUAAGCAUGCCUUUGUAUCUGGAGACUUGUUUAAAGAAAUGUGUCUGAUUGCUGAGUUCACAAUAGGUGAGCUGUAAUGGUUGAUCCAUGGUGUCAAUUUGAGAAGUUUAGAAGUUCAGUGAAGUGGUUCAGCAGGGAGCCAGGGUCCUCACUUUGUAAACAUCCUCAUCCUGUACAAGAAGAAGUCACCAAGAUGGUGUGAGUGCUACACCCGCGCCCUUGAGGGUGGAAGUCUGCUUACAGUAUGAGGGAGGAAAAGAAGCUUACACCCCCUCCUUUGCUCUUGUUGCUUUGCUUCUUCUGCUGCCUUGAACUGUGUCCCUGUGUCAUGCCACACUGUGUCGGAGACAGCUGAUUAUGGACUGAAACCUCCAUAUACUGUGAGCUAAAUAAACCUUUCCCUCUUCAA
Molecule: long non-coding RNA, 3544 nt
Organism: Cavia porcellus (domestic guinea pig)
Lineage: Eukaryota; Metazoa; Chordata; Mammalia; Rodentia; Caviidae
Exons: 2
Source: RefSeq, a predicted model, not a curated record